CAGCAGCGACGCACACAUGCUCAGGGUCAGCAGGAAACGACAGGGGCAUCAGCGCUGCGCGCGCCCCCUUCUCUCACCAGCUCAGUAAGAGAGACGUGCAGCAAGACGGACCUUCUGCUGCCUUCUCCUCCAGUGCCAUGGUCUGCCCCAGCGAACCAUCACAUCUCCUCACCUCCAAGAGCCAGCCACUCACAGCCUCACACAGGAGGGGUGCCUCUACAGCCUGUUCUUACUGCCAAGGCCUUGUCAGCACCAAGCUGCCCCUUCCGGGACCCAUGGCUGGAGGGGGCGGGAAGCCUGCCUGAUCCCCUGCUCAUUCUUGAUUCUCCUUUCAACGCCCUUCAUAGUUCCACCUAGUGAAAUCUUUUUUUCCAUCUUUAAAUAGUAUACAGAACCAACACUUAAAUGUUAAAAUGUUUCAUUAUACCACCAAAAAUCAUUUUGGAUACCCCACAAUUGUUCACAUAUACCACAUGGGGUAG
RNAcentral lists this long non-coding RNA (482 nucleotides) under Capra hircus (goat). Its description in RNAcentral is "lncRNA (ENSCHIG00010025437.1)". Lineage: Eukaryota; Metazoa; Chordata; Mammalia; Artiodactyla; Bovidae. The record is from RNAcentral.